This 449-nucleotide ribosomal RNA is filed under the name uncultured bacterium. Its description in RNAcentral is "partial 16S ribosomal RNA". It matches the Rfam family "Bacterial small subunit ribosomal RNA", at positions 29 to 523 of the family's 1533-position model. The record is from RNAcentral.
AGCGAACGCUGGCGGCAGGCCUAACACAUGCAAGUCGAACGAAGUCUUCGGACUUAGUGGCGGACGGGUGAGUAACACGUGGGAACGUGCCUUUAGGUUCGGAAUAACUCAGGGAAACUUGUGCUAAUACCGAAUGUGCCCCUCGGGGGAAAGAUUUAUCGCCUUUAGAGCGGCCCGCGGCUGAUUAGCUAGUUGGUGAGGUAAAGGCUCACCAAGGCGACGAUCGGUAGCUGGUCUGAGAGGAUGAUCAGCCACAUUGGGACUGAGACACGGCCCAAACUCCUACGGGAGGCAGCAGUGGGGAAUCUUGCGCAAUGGGCGAAAGCCUGACGCAGCCAUGCCGCGUGAAUGAUGAAGGUCUUAGGAUUGUAAAAUUCUUUCACCGGGGACGAUAAUGACGGUACCCGGAGAAGAAGCCCCGGCUAACUUCUUGCCAGCCGCCGCAGUAA